UACGUAGGGCGCAAGCGUUGUCCGGAAUUAUUGGGCGUAAAGAGCUCGUAGGCGGCUUGUCACGUCGAUUGUGAAAGCCCGGGGCUUAACUCCGGGUCUGCAGUCGAUACGGGCUAGCUAGAGUGUGGUAGGGGAGAUCGGAAUUCCUGGUGUAGCGGUGAAAUGCGCAGAUAUCAGGAGGAACACCGGUGGCGAAGGCGGAUCUCUGGGCCAUUACUGACGCUGAGGAGCGAAAGCGUAGGGAGCGAACAGG
Molecule: ribosomal RNA, 253 nt
Filed under: uncultured bacterium
Lineage: Bacteria
Description: partial 16S ribosomal RNA
Rfam family: Bacterial small subunit ribosomal RNA
Source: RNAcentral